GCAGUAGCCACGGUAAUACGAAGGGUGCAAGCGUUAAUCGGAAUUACUGGGCGUAAAGCGUGCGCAGGCGGUUUGUUAAGACAGAUGUGAAAUCCCCGGGCUCAACCUGGGAACUGCAUUUGUGACUGGCAAGCUAGAGUGUGUCAGAGGAUGGUGGAAUUCCCGGUGUAGCGGUGAAAUGCGUAGAGAUCGGGAGGAACAUCAGUGGCGAAGGCGGCCAUCUGGGACAACACUGACGCUGAGGCACGAAAGCGUGGGGAGCAAACAGGAUUAGAUACCCCCGUAGUCCCUGUCUCUUAUAC
Molecule: ribosomal RNA, 302 nt
Filed under: uncultured bacterium
Lineage: Bacteria
Description: partial 16S ribosomal RNA
Rfam family: Bacterial small subunit ribosomal RNA
Source: RNAcentral